RNAcentral lists this small nucleolar RNA (151 nucleotides) under Oryzias javanicus (javanese ricefish). Lineage: Eukaryota; Metazoa; Chordata; Actinopteri; Beloniformes; Adrianichthyidae. The record is from RNAcentral.
CUUCAGUGAUGAGACGAUGACGAGUCGGAACACGGCCCCGCCUCCUCUGGUGGCUCCUGGUCCAGAUCCACGUUCUGUGGUUCUGUUCCAGGUUAUCAGAACGAGGCGGGCCUUUUCUGCCUGAAGACACCGAGGCAUUUGUCUGAGAAGG